CUCUGUCCAUGAGGAAUUCAUAACCUAAAGCGCAGAUCACACACUGAUUUAUGGACAGCUCCCUGAGCUGCUGUGGAAGCCAAAUGCUCUUUUUCUAAGAUGUCCUUGGGGCUGGUGGUCACUCAGUCUCAGCUUCAACGUCACCUUCGUGGUAAGUCCUUCG
RNAcentral lists this long non-coding RNA (163 nucleotides) under Chinchilla lanigera (long-tailed chinchilla). RNAcentral's name for it is "lncRNA (ENSCLAG00000027301.1)". The record is from RNAcentral. Lineage: Eukaryota; Metazoa; Chordata; Mammalia; Rodentia; Chinchillidae.